RNAcentral lists this unclassified non-coding RNA (331 nucleotides) under soil metagenome. RNAcentral describes it as "partial contains 5.8S ribosomal RNA, internal transcribed spacer 2, and large subunit ribosomal RNA". The stretch from base 1 to 120 matches the Rfam family "5.8S ribosomal RNA", at positions 35 to 154 of the family's 154-position model. The record is from RNAcentral.
GAUGAAGAACGCAGCGAAAUGCGAUAAGUAAUGUGAAUUGCAGAAUUCAGUGAAUCAUCGAAUCUUUGAACGCACAUUGCGCCCCCUGGUAUUCCGGGGGGCAUGCCUGUUCGAGCGUCAUUUCACCACUCAAGCCUCGCUUGGUAUUGGGCAACGCGGUCCGCCGCGUGCCUCAAAUCGUCCGGCUGGGUCUUCUGUACCCUAAGCGUUGUGGAAACUAUUCGCUAAAGGGUGUUCGGGAGGCUACGCCGUAAAACAACCCCAUUUCUAAGGUUGACCUCGGAUCAGGUAGGGAUACCCGCUGAACUUAAGCAUAUCAAUAAGCGGAGGA